This 497-nucleotide ribosomal RNA is filed under the name uncultured bacterium. RNAcentral describes it as "partial 16S ribosomal RNA". It matches the Rfam family "Bacterial small subunit ribosomal RNA", at positions 28 to 507 of the family's 1533-position model. The record is from RNAcentral.
GAUGAACGCUGGCGGCGUGCCUAAUACAUGCCAGUCGAGCGAACAGAUGAGGAGCUUGCUCCUCUGACGUUAGCGGCGGACGGGUGAGUAACACGUGGAUAACCUACCUAUAAGACUGGGAUAACUUCGGGAAACCGGAGCUAAUACCGGAUAAUAUAUUGAACCGCAUGGUUCAAUAGUGAAAGACGGUUUUGCUGUCACUUAUAGAUGGAUCCGCGCCGCAUUAGCUAGUUGGUAAGGUAACGGCUUACCAAGGCAACGAUGCGUAGCCGACCUGAGAGGGUGAUCGGCCACACUGGAACUGAGACACGGUCCAGACUCCUACGGGAGGCAGCAGUAGGGAAUCUUCCGCAAUGGGCGAAAGCCUGACGGAGCAACGCCGCGUGAGUGAUGAAGGUCUUCGGAUCGUAAAACUCUGUUAUUAGGGACGAACAAAUGUGUAAGUAACUAUGCACGUCUUGACGGUACCUAAUCAGAAAGCCACGGCUAACUACGUG